RNAcentral lists this ribosomal RNA (433 nucleotides) under uncultured bacterium. Its description in RNAcentral is "partial 16S ribosomal RNA". It matches the Rfam family "Bacterial small subunit ribosomal RNA", at positions 355 to 781 of the family's 1533-position model. The record is from RNAcentral.
UGGGGAAUUUUGGACAAUGGCGAAAGCCUGAUCCAGCAAUGCCGCGUGUGUGAAGAAGGCCUUCGGGUUGUAAAGCACUUUUGUCCGGAAAGAAAUCCUUGGCUCUAAUACAGUCGGGGGAUACGGUACCGGAAGAAUAAGCACCGGCUAACUACGUGCCAGCAGCCGCGGUAAUACGUAGGGUGCAAGCGUUAAUCGGAAUUACUGGGCGUAAAGCGUGCGCAGGCGGUUUGCUAAGACCGAUGUGAAAAUCCCCGGGCUAACCUGGGGAACUCAUUGGUGACUGGCAGGCUAGAGUAUGGCANAGGGGGGUAGAAUUCCACGUGUAGCAGUGAAAUGCGUAGAGAUGUGGAGGAAUACAUGGCGAAGGCAGCCCCCUGGGGCCAAAUACUGGCGCUCAUGCACGAAAGCGUGGGGAGCAAAACAGGAUUAG